RNAcentral lists this ribosomal RNA (492 nucleotides) under uncultured bacterium. Its description in RNAcentral is "partial 16S ribosomal RNA". It matches the Rfam family "Bacterial small subunit ribosomal RNA", at positions 29 to 507 of the family's 1533-position model. The record is from RNAcentral.
AGUGAACGCUGGCGGUAGGCCUAACACAUGCAAGUCGAACGGCAGCACAGUAAGAGCUUGCUCUUACGGGUGGCGAGUGGCGGACGGGUGAGGAAUACAUCGGAAUCUACUUUUUCGUGGGGGAUAACGUAGGGAAACUUACGCUAAUACCGCAUACGACCUACGGGUGAAAGCAGGGGAUCUUCGGACCUUGCGCGAUUGAAUGAGCCGAUGUCGGAUUAGCUAGUUGGCGGGGUAAAGGCCCACCAAGGCGACGAUCCGUAGCUGGUCGGAGAGGAUGAGCGCCCACAGUGGAACUGAGACAGGUGACAGCGCCCUAGGGGAGGCGCGAGGGGGGAAUGGUGGAGAAUGGGCGCAAGCCUGACCCAGCCAUCGCGGGGGAGGGAAGAAGGCGUUUGGGUAUAAAACUCUUUUUGUGGGAAAAAAAAAGAACCGGUUUAAAACCCUGCUUUUGUGACGGUACCCAAAAAAAAAGCCCCGGCUAACCUCGUG